This is a long non-coding RNA of Carassius gibelio (silver crucian carp), 592 nucleotides long. RefSeq lists it as uncharacterized. The transcript has 3 exons. Lineage: Eukaryota; Metazoa; Chordata; Actinopteri; Cypriniformes; Cyprinidae. The record is from RefSeq and is a predicted model, not a curated record.
AUUCUCACUCCAAAGGCGUCAAAAACCGAAGCAUGGUCAAGCGCCCCUAGCGUCACUUUUAUGACGCCAAAUGUGCCUCUCGGCGUCGAAUAUCGAAGCACUACGACAUUCAUUGCUUUCAAUGGGAAACUUUUGGCGUCAGAAUUUGACACGAGGACAUGAGAUGUUUAUCGCUAUGAAAUCACGUUCAAGAAGUCUCAUUCAGCACACAUCGCGAUACUUGCUAUCAGUUCCACAGUUUGGCUGAAAAGACAUAAAGGCAGUCAGCCCAGUGGUGUUUCUGGAGAGGGAUUCCUUCAGAAAUGGAGAAGACAGAAAGCUGCGGAGGCAGAUAUAUGCAGCAGAUUGUUUGAGGAUAACGCUGUAGCUCCAUCAUGCACAAGGACUCACCUCGUUAACUCUUUAUCCCCCACACACACAGAAAUGGUCCCUGGAUCAGUGAUUAGACUUUGCAGUGGUUUGAUUUUUGCAGAAGAUGUAACUUUGUUUUAAUUAUAAGCUCAUAAUGAAUACAUUACAGAACCAGUGAUGAAAACAAUAGUUAAAAAUAGCGCUACAUAUUAAAAAUAUAUUGCACACUUGACAUGCAUGU